GAUGAACGCUGGCGGCGUGCCUAAUACAUGCAAGUAGAACGCUGAAGGAGGAGCUUGCUCUUCUGGAUGAGUUGCGAACGGGUGAGUAACGCGUAGGUAACCUGCCUGGUAGCGGGGGAUAACUAUUGGAAACGAUAGCUAAUACCGCAUGACAACAGUUAUUGCAUGAUAACUGUUUAAAAGGGGCAACUGCUCCACUACCAGAUGGACCUGCGUUGUAUUAGCGAGUGGGUGAGGUAACGGCUCACCAAGGCGACGAUACAUAGCCGACCUGAGAGGGUGAUCGGCCCCACUGGCACUGAGACACGGCCCCGGCUCCUACGGGAGGCGGCAGUAGGGAAUCUUCGGCAAUGGACGGCAGUCUGACCGAGCCACGCCGCGUGAGUGCAGAAGGCUUUCGGCUCGUCAAGCUCUGUUGUACGCGAAGAACGCGUGUGAGCGUGGAAAGUUCACACUGUGCCGGUCUCUUACCAGAAAGGGACGGCUACCUACGUG
Molecule: ribosomal RNA, 495 nt
Filed under: uncultured bacterium
Lineage: Bacteria
Description: partial 16S ribosomal RNA
Rfam family: Bacterial small subunit ribosomal RNA
Source: RNAcentral